AUUUAUAUAGUUUAUUUAAAACAUUAUAUUUUCAUUAUAAAAAAAGAAAUUAUUCUUAUAAAUA
This 64-nucleotide transfer RNA is filed under the name Halyzia sedecimguttata (orange ladybird). RNAcentral's name for it is "tRNA-Glu". The record is from RNAcentral. Lineage: Eukaryota; Metazoa; Arthropoda; Insecta; Coleoptera; Coccinellidae.